RNAcentral lists this ribosomal RNA (209 nucleotides) under uncultured eukaryote. Its description in RNAcentral is "partial 18S ribosomal RNA". It matches the Rfam family "Eukaryotic small subunit ribosomal RNA", at positions 606 to 830 of the family's 1831-position model. The record is from RNAcentral.
UUAAAGUUGUUGCAGUUAACAAGCUCGUAGUUGAACCUUGGGCCUGGCUGGCCGGUCCGCCUCACCGCGUGCACUGGUCCGGCCGGGYCUUUCCUUCUGGGGAGCCGCAUGCCCUUCACUGGGUGUGUCGGGGAACCAGGACUUUUACUUUGAAAAAAUUAGAGUGUUCAAAGCAGGCCUAUGCUCGAAUACAUUAGCAUGGAAUAAUA